GGUCUGCUGGCCUAGUGAUUAGAGCGUCCGCCUAGUAUGUGGGAGGUCGUGGGUUUUAUCCCCGGUCGAAUCA
Non-coding RNA from Potamilus streckersoni, 73 nucleotides. NCBI's taxonomy places the organism in Eukaryota, Metazoa, Mollusca, Bivalvia, Unionida, Unionidae. The record is from the annotation of a GenBank genome assembly.